UACGAAGGGUGCAAGCGUUACUCGGAAUUACUGGGCGUAAAGGGUGCGUAGGCGGUUUGUUAAGUCCGUUGUGAAAUCCCUGGGCUCAACCUGGGAAUGGCAGUGGAUACUGGCAAGCUAGAGUGCGGUAGAGGGUAGUGGAAUUCCCGGUGUAGCAGUGAAAUGCGUAGAGAUCGGGAGGAACACCAGUGGCGAAGGCGGCUACCUGGACCAGCACUGACACUGAGGCACGAAAGCGUGGGGAGCAAACAGG
Molecule: ribosomal RNA, 253 nt
Filed under: uncultured bacterium
Lineage: Bacteria
Description: partial 16S ribosomal RNA
Rfam family: Bacterial small subunit ribosomal RNA
Source: RNAcentral